This 651-nucleotide ribosomal RNA is filed under the name Danarma obtusifrons. RNAcentral describes it as "Chiromantes obtusifrons partial large subunit ribosomal RNA". It matches the Rfam family "Bacterial large subunit ribosomal RNA", at positions 1819 to 2730 of the family's 2925-position model. Lineage: Eukaryota; Metazoa; Arthropoda; Malacostraca; Decapoda; Sesarmidae. The record is from RNAcentral.
GUCUGUUUGAAGAUAUAAAAAGUCUAGCCUGCCCACUGAUAAAAUUUUAAAGGGCCGCGGUAUUCUGACUGUGCAAAGGUAGCAUAAUCGUUAGUUUUUUAAUUGGAAUCUUGUAUGAAUGGCUUGACAAAAAAAAAACUGUCUUUAUAAUUAUUUAUUGAAUUUAACUUUUAAGUGAAAAGGCUUAAAUAAAUUAAAAAGACGAUAAGACCCUAUAAAGCUUUAUAUUAAAUUUUCAUUUAAUUAAAUUUGUGAGAAUAAAAAUUUGGUGAUUAAAUUUUAUUUUAUUGGGGUGAUAAUGGUAAAAUGAUUAUUAACUGUUAAUUUUUAAAAACAAAAAUAAAUGAAUAAAAAUAAAAGUUAUAUAAAUGAUCCUAUUUAAAGAUUAAAAGUUUAAGUUACUUUAGGGAUAACAGCGUUAUUUUUUUUGAGAGUUCUUAUCGAGAAAAAAGUUUGCGACCUCGAUGUUGAAUUAAAAAAUCUAUAUAAUUGUAGCAGUUAUAUAAGAAGGUCUGUUCGACCUUUAAAUUUUUACAUGAUUUGAGUUCAGACCGGCGUAAGCCAGGUCGGUUUCUAUCUUUUAAUAUUUAAUAAUUAUUUUAGUACGAAAGGAUUGAAUAAUUAAAAUUAUUUUUGAUUAAUUGGAUUAAA